Molecule: ribosomal RNA, 1338 nt
Filed under: Triticum aestivum (bread wheat)
Lineage: Eukaryota; Viridiplantae; Streptophyta; Magnoliopsida; Poales; Poaceae
Description: partial small subunit ribosomal RNA
Source: RNAcentral
CACCCCCCAAUACCCCCUCGCUUCCGAUUUGAGACAUUUUGGGUGUCUCAAACCAGCUUCGUGGAGGGCGUUGGUGCGCGCUGGCUGGAGGCCCGCUCCCCCCCACCACGCCCUCCCUCGGCCAUCGACUCUUGGUAGUUCUGUGCCAAGCGUGGUCAUCAGUUCAUGAAGGGCUGGGGCGCCAACGUUGGUUGGGAUCUUAGGGAGCAUGAAAAGGCCCUUCUGACCGCCAUCCAGGCGCUUGACCUCUGGGCUGAUGCUUCCGGCCUCUCCCCCAAUGUGUGACUCUUGCGGUACGAUCUAGAGGAUCAGCUCUCUGUCAUCUACACUGAUGAGGAGGCCUAUUAGCCUCUACGCGGCUCCCAGAAAUGGGUCUUGAAGGGUGACGCUAACACGGCCUACUUUCAGGCCAUUGCUAAUGGUCAUCAUAGACGCAACACCAUCCCUCUUCUCUGGGAUGGCGAGACGCUCUUACAAUCCCCUAGUGACAUUUGGGCGCACGUCGACAGAUUCUACAAGAGCCUCAUCUCCCCUCGAAGUGUGCUAUCGCUGGCCCAUGACCGCUGGACGAGCCCUAAGCUGGUCUCGGAGGAGAAUGCGGCCCACACGGCCCCAUUCUCUGAGGGCGAGGUUUGCGCGGCCAUCCGAGGUAUGAAUCCCUCCUCGGCCCCGGGUCCCGACGGCAUCCUGGUCAAAUUUUUUCAGACAUUCUAGAAUGUGAUCAAACCCGAGAUCAUGGCCAUCUUCGACGAGUUCUAUGUAGGCUCCAUCGACCUCGGCCGACUCAACUAUGGGAUCAUUUCACUCAUCCCCAAAGUGUAUGGAGCUUCCAACAUCCGCCAGUUCCGCCCAAUCACGGUGAUCAACGCGAUCUUCAGGAUCCUAGCAAAAGGGUACGCCAAUAGGGUGACCCUGCUUGCGGAUCGCAUUACUCACCCCAACCAUUCCGCCUUCAUCCAAGGGCGGUAUAUCGUGGAUGGGGUGCUAGUUCUCCAUGAAGUGCUCCAUGAGGUCUGCUCUAAGCACCUCAAGGUGGUCUUCUUGAAGCUCGAUUUCCAUAGGGCCUAUGGUACGGUCAGUUGGUCCUUUCUUCGGGAAGUUUUGCUCCAGAAAGGCUUCGAUGAACCUUGGAUCACCCGUGUGAUGCAGAUGGUCUCCUGCGGUCGCACGGCCUUGAACAUCAAUGGGGAGAUUGGUCCCUACUUCCCCACCCUAUUGGUGUUAGACAGGGCGACCCCUUCCCCCCCUUCUUGUUCAACAUGUUGGUCGACACUCUUGCCACCAUCCUUGACAAGACCAAGGCGGCUGGCCAUAUUUGUGGGAUUACUCCUCACUUGA